UCCAGAACAUUUUCAUAAUCCAACCUGAAACUCUGUACCCAUGAAACACUCGGCAACCACCAUUCUACUUUCUGCCUCUUUCUACAUAUUUGCCUAUUCUAGAAUACUACUCUUUUCGAUCUCUCAAUUUUCCUGAAAAAGACUUAAAAUUUCUGGCAAAUUUUCCAAGUAACCUUUUCAAUAACCAGGUAAAGUGAGAUGGGGUAAACAUAACCGAGGUUCUAAUUUUUUAAAAUAACUUUGUGAAGAAGCAGAAAAGUUGUCAUCUCCUAGCAACCACUGUCCAAAAGGCUUCAAACCACUGAUCUGUAGGGCACAGAGUAAGUAUUUGUAGGUGAGGGAACCCCAUGGGGAAAAAACAAGGACAAGGAAAGUGUGUGGCUUCUGCAGCUUAAAAGUGUUCCACUGAUACUCAUAAGGCUCUCUCUACCCUGUAUUUUACUGCAUGUAAACUAUACCUCAAAAAGUUGUGACAAAUAAGUAAAUCCCCUAGAGACCAAUGUACUUCAAUAGCGACGCUCCCCUCAGGCCUCCUGGGUGCUUCCCUCACAUCACCUCCUGCACGGCCUUACCUCCCCUGCUUCCCUCGUCCCCUCCACCCUCUGCACCUCCAUCAUCCAAAGACAGAAAUGUCAUCUUUAGGGCAAUGUGCCAGAGAGGAAAAGCAAGGGCUUGGUUACAUGUCAACUGUGCGCUCAGGCAGUGCUACUCACUUCAUCAGUUUCUGCUUUGUGGCAGAAUCUUUGAAGCUUCUAAAUUCUUCUCCUGCUUUGAUCUCAUAAAACUGGGGCUUUAGGACUGUCUGCUGGUCCUCCUUGAGUCGUUCCUGCCGCUUCACUUUUUCCUCCUGCUGGAGGAGUCUGCGUUGCUUCCUGACCUCUUCAACCCAGGCUUUUUCAUCAUCUGAACUCUCCGAACUUUCUGCAUCACUUGGUUUUCCUUCCGGCUCUUCCUCCUCUUCCUGAGAAUAAAAAUAGUAAGCAGCAACUCCUUUCCCCCAGUCAAACACAGACCCCUUGGUUUCUCUGAAGCAGCACUGGCCCAUUAAUGAGUGCCUAACAGCUGCUCUACUGCAUGCAUCAGGAGAAAUGCCUUUAAAUAAAUAAGAUAAUACUCCUAAGCCCAAUGUCAAACACUUAAUAUGGAAUUAAUUACAUCUCAAGUAUAAUCAAAGACUCUUCUAACUUACAAAGAAAACAUUACAUUAAAGAAACAGUAGCAAAUUCUAACUGAUAAGGAGUACAUUACUUUUUCACGAAGUUCUUGUUGCUCUAAGAGUCUUAGUUUCUUCUUCCUUUUUUCACUAAUUUUUGAAACAAGUGGAUUCAGAAGCCUAAAUUCUUCACUCUCUUCAUCUACUUGGAAGUCAGGGUUCUCAAACAUAACUUUAAAUCGAUCAUCGGUGAGAAUAUUAGGAAGACUCUACAAGGAGGAAAAAGCUUGGAAGCCAGAUGAAACGGCUUACUCAGAAUUGUUUGUCAAUCAGAGUAAACAGCCCUGAACACUGCUGGAAAAAGCUGACCUGUUUGUGAUGGACUCUGACUCUGCUGAACAGACUACUUUACUAUUUCUCCACUGUUGAGAGUAAACAAGAUUGCAGGCAGUUGAGUUCUGAAUAUUAUUUGUGU
This 1628-nucleotide long non-coding RNA is filed under the name Homo sapiens (human). Its description in RNAcentral is "HSALNT0027344". Lineage: Eukaryota; Metazoa; Chordata; Mammalia; Primates; Hominidae. The record is from RNAcentral.